GACGAACGCUGGCGGCGUGCCUAACACAUGCAAGUCGAACGAAGAGCGAUGGACGCUUGCUUCUAUCAUUCUUAGUGGCGAACGGGUGAGUAACGCGUAAUCAACCUGCCCUCCAGAGGGGGACAACAGCUGGAAACGACUGCUAAUACCGCAUACGAUCUGACCUCGGUAUCGAGGCUAGAUGAAAGGUGGCCUCUAUUUAUAAGCCCUCACUGAAGGAGGGGCUUGCGCCUGAUUAGCUAGUUGGGGGGGUAACGGCCCACCGAGGCGAUGACCAGUAACCGGUCAGAAAGGAGGCACGGCCAAAUUGGGACGGAAACACGGCCCAGAAUCCUGGGGGAGGGAGCCGUCGGGGAUCUUCCGCGAUGGAAGAAAGGCUGAAGAAGGGACAACGGGCGAGAGCUGGAGGCAUUCAGGUUGUAAAGCUGUGGUAGUCGGGACGGAAGGCAUGCUUGCGAAUAGGUAGAAAGAUUGACGGUACCGGAAGAAAAAGCCACGGCUAACUACGUG
This 510-nucleotide ribosomal RNA is filed under the name uncultured bacterium. Its description in RNAcentral is "partial 16S ribosomal RNA". It matches the Rfam family "Bacterial small subunit ribosomal RNA", at positions 28 to 507 of the family's 1533-position model. The record is from RNAcentral.